UAGGGCUCGUUUGGAUCCCUGUGUAAGGGCUCCGUAUUGUAUUAAAUUAUAAGAGUACCAUGUUUGGGUAGGACCUUGUAUUGUAAUAGAUAUUACAACCCCAAUUUUUAAUACAAUCUAUCCUGUAUUAUUCUAUGCUGAAUAAAAACAGUGUACAAGGCUGUAUUGUACUCUCCCUCUCACCCAAACUUCUUCAUUUUCCCGUUCAGCCAUCUUCGCCGAUUCUCUGGCCGAUUUGGCCUGGAUUUCUCGGUGAAGAGCAACUUCGUGUUCUCCGACAGAUCAAUCUCUCAGAUUCAUUUCUCAGUGAAAAGCAACUUCAUCUUCUCUAGCAUAUCAAUGUCUCAGAUUCAUUUGACCAGGUGUGUCGUCCGCUGCUAGCAAACGCUGCUCGAUUCUUCUCCGUACAACCUAGAAAGAGCCGAGGUUCUGCUAUUUUGCUCUAGGUGAGUUAUCAAUUAUGAUUCCAUGGUUGGUUAUCAAGACUCUAAUUAAUAAAUUACUUUACCAUUAGUGGGUUUGAAUUUGGCUAUACUGUUCUGCUCUUCUUCUUCUUCUUUUGUGUUACUUUCUUUUUCUUAUUUAUUAUUGAAUAAUGUUGAUGAUGGGAAUCCCUUUCGACUUUUCAAGUUUCUGUUUUUCUGUAUAUCGUGGAGGUGAAUUUGAUUGAAUAUUGAUUUUAUGCAUGGUUACUAUUUUGACUAAUCCAAAAUGUUCUGUAUUCAAUCAGGUUAGUCUUAAUUAGUUUUAGUCAUAUUUCUUUCAUUCGAAAAUUCAGAACCCACCAAACAAUGAUUUGUUUGUGAGCUUGUUAGAGUUAAAUGUUUUCGUACACCUUGAAUUUUAAGGCUUUACUUACUAUUUGAGUAGUUGAGUGGUUGGUGAAAUGAAAUUGAGAUAUGUCCUUAUGGAAAACCAACUUAAUUUUGCUAAUGAAAUACCACAAAUUGAGCUUCCAUUACCGCUCAGCUGCUCAACUAUUGAAAUUGUUGAAGAUGUUGUUGGCUUUUAAUUAAAUCGGCUUGUGAGGGCUAGAUAAGUUGAACUGGGUGGGUUGUUUAUUGUUUAUUGUUUACUUCAAACAAAAGGUGGGUUGGGUUGGGCAAUGCCCUGUCAGUAUUUGUCCCCAAAAGCUUUUUUUAGCUUUUGGUUAUGGUAAUUAGAGGUUAAGUUUGAUCAUUUAGAGGGUAAAAUGUUGUUCCCUGUAUUUAUUGUGAAGGGGCUUACCACUGGCUUUAUAGGAGAAUGAAUGGGGUUAUGAGAAAUAGGUUAAUGAUUCUUUGUUUUGAGAUGUGUGAUGAGAAAUUUGGUGUUAUACCAAUACCAAUACCAUUUUCCAAUGAAGAAGAGUUUAUAUUGGGAGAAUGGAAUGAAUCAGUUGCUCUGUUAAAUAUUUACCAGAUGUGGGUGAUGGUUGAUGAUGGUAUUCGUAUUAAAUGGAUAAUGUGUCUCAAAUUUGGGCCAUUGCCACCAUUGUAUUUUCCCAUGAAUUUUUGGAAGGAAGAUGAAAUUUUAUUGAAGAGCUAUAAAGAUGAAGAUGGGGUUGUUUCAUAUAAUAUUAGUACUAAACAACUUAGAAGAGUUUAUGUUCCUCGAAGGAUGUUUUACUGCACUCAUGCUAUUCCAUCUCUAAAAACUUUAUUUUCAUUCUAGAAUUGGGAAUUUGAAACUCUUUAUUAUUUUGUAUUAAGAGUUCUUUCUUUUAAGAUUUGUAUUUGUGGAGUUCAACUUGUAAUGUUCGAUUUCAACAUUUUUAUAUCAAUUUGAAAUCAUGAGGAGUACUUUAAUAUGAAACAUGCAUCUGCAAGAAAAUGUCAUUGAGAGAUGUUUUGGAUUGCUUAAGAUUAGAUGGUCAAUCUCGAAGAACACGUCAUUUUUCCCAAUAACAACACAGUGCCGAAUAAUUACAGCGUGUUGUAUUUUGCAUAAUUUGAUUCCGCGAGAAAAGUCUCUAGAUCCAGCGGAAAUUGAGCUUGAUAGACAAGUGGAUGCUGCAGAAGAUACUCAUCACACAAUAAUGAAUAUCAUGAAAUAAUUGAUAUUGUUGAAGCCUCAACUCAAUGGACUGAAUGGAGAAACACUUUAGCUAUGCAAAUGUAUAAUGAAUGGAGGCUACAUAGAGGGCUUUAAUGGUAGAGGUUCUUAGUCUUGCAUGUAUGGACAAACUUUGCUUACUUAUUGUUUGUAUUAGACACAUUAAUUUGAAUGUAUUCUUACUUGCUUUUUGUUGUCAUUUAACUUUGUUUGUAUUGGACGCAUUGAUCUUAGUUAUUCAAUUUUAUUUUGUCUUUGAAA
This is a long non-coding RNA of Cannabis sativa, 2295 nucleotides long. RefSeq lists it as uncharacterized. NCBI's taxonomy places the organism in Eukaryota, Viridiplantae, Streptophyta, Magnoliopsida, Rosales, Cannabaceae. The transcript is spliced from 2 exons. The record is from RefSeq and is a predicted model, not a curated record.